AUUGAACGCUGGCGGAAUGCUUUACACAUGCAAGUCGAACGGCAGCACGGACUUCGGUCUGGUGGCGAGUGGCGAACGGGUGAGUAAUGUAUCGGAACGUGCCCAGUCGUGGGGGAUAACGUAGUGAAAAUUACGCUAAUACCGCAUACGAUCUAUGGAUGAAAGCGGGGGAUCGCAAGACCUCGCGCGAUUGGAGCGGCCGAUAUCAGAUUAGGUAGUUGGUGGGGUAAAGGACCACCAAGCCAACGAACUGUAGCUGGUCUGAGAGGACGACUAGCCACACUGGAACUGGGACACGGUCCAGACUCAUACGGGAGGCAGCAGUGGGGAAUUUUGGACAAUGGGCGAAAGCCUGAUCCAGCCAUUCCGCGUGCAGGAUGAAGGCCCUCGGGUUGUAAACUGCUUUUGUACAGAACGAAAAGGUUUCUACUAAUACUAGGAGCUCAUGACGGUACUGUAAGAAUAAGCACCGGCUAACUACGUGCCAGCCGCCGCAGUAA
This 500-nucleotide ribosomal RNA is filed under the name uncultured bacterium. Its description in RNAcentral is "partial 16S ribosomal RNA". It matches the Rfam family "Bacterial small subunit ribosomal RNA", at positions 30 to 523 of the family's 1533-position model. The record is from RNAcentral.